UGUACGUGUGUGUGUGUUCAAGUAGUGAACAAAGGCCGGUUAGACAGGUACAAAAGUACAUCAUUUCUGCCUGUAACCCAGAAUUCAUUACUCAGUAUGAGUUUUGAUACCUACCAGAAAACA
Rattus norvegicus (Norway rat) is the source of this 123-nucleotide small nucleolar RNA. Ensembl annotates it as small nucleolar RNA SNORA40. The record is from Ensembl. Lineage: Eukaryota; Metazoa; Chordata; Mammalia; Rodentia; Muridae.